UGAGGAAUAUUGGUCAAUGGGCGCGAGCCUGAACCAGCCAAGUAGCGUGAAGGAUGAAGGUCCUACGGAUUGUAAACUUCUUUUAUAAGGGAAUAAAGUCACCCACGUGUGGGUGUUUGUAUGUACCUUAUGAAUAAGCAUCGGCUAACUCCGUGCCAGCAGCCGCGGUAAUACGGAGGAUGCGAGCGUUAUCCGGAUUUAUUGGGUUUAAAGGGAGCGUAGACGGGCCGUUAAGUCAGCUGUGAAAGUUUGAGGUUCAACCUUAAAAUUGCAGUUGAUACUGGCGUCCUUGAGUACGGUUGAGGCAGGCGGAAUUCGUGGUGUAGCGGUGAAAUGCUUAGAUAUCACGAAGAACCCCGAUUGCGAAGGCAGCCUGCUAAACCGCCACUGACGUUGAGGCUCGAAAGUGUGGGUAUCAAACAGGAUUAGAUACCCUGGUAGUCCACACGGUAAACGAUGGAUACUCGCUGUUGGCGAUAGACUGUCAGCGGCUUAGCGAAAGCGUUAAGUAUCCCACCUGGGGAGUACGCCGGCAACGGUGAAACUCAAAGGAAUUGACGGGGGCCCGCACAAGCGGAGGAACAUGUGGUUUAAUUCGAUGAUACGCGAGGAACCUUACCCGGGCUUGAAUUGCAGACGAAUUGCUUGGAAACAGGCAAGCCGCAAGGCGUCUGUGAAGGUGCUGCAUGGUUGUCGUCAGCUCGUGCCGUGAGGUGUCGGCUUAAGUGCCAUAACGAGCGCAACCCUCGUGUCCAGUUACUAGCAGGUUAUGCUGAGGACUCUGGACAGACUGCCAUCGUAAGAUGUGAGGAAGGUGGGGAUGACGUCAAAUCAGCACGGCCCUUACGUCCGGGGCUACACACGUGUUACAAUGGGGGGUACAGCAGGCAGCUACCGGGCGACCGGAUGCCAAUCCCGAAAGCCUCUCUCAGUUCGGACUGGAGUCUGCAACCCGACUCCACGAAGCUGGAUUCGCUAGUAAUCGCGCAUCAGCCACGGCGCGGUGAAUACGUUCCC
RNAcentral lists this ribosomal RNA (1017 nucleotides) under uncultured bacterium. RNAcentral's name for it is "bacterial SSU rRNA". It matches the Rfam family "Bacterial small subunit ribosomal RNA", at positions 355 to 1375 of the family's 1533-position model. The record is from RNAcentral.